RNAcentral lists this ribosomal RNA (497 nucleotides) under uncultured bacterium. RNAcentral describes it as "partial 16S ribosomal RNA". It matches the Rfam family "Bacterial small subunit ribosomal RNA", at positions 28 to 507 of the family's 1533-position model. The record is from RNAcentral.
GAUGAACACUGGCGGCGUGCCUAAUACAUGCAAGUCGAGCGAACGGACGAGAAGCUUGCUUCUCUGAUGUUAGCGGCGGACGGGUGAGUAACACGUGGAUAACCUACCUAUAAGACUGGGAUAACUUCGGGAAACCGGAGCUAAUACCGGAUAAUAUUUUGAACCGCAUGGUUCAAAAGUGAAAGACGGUCUUGCUGUCACUUAUAGAUGGAUCCGGGCUGCAUUAGCUAGUUGGUAAGGUAACGGCUUACCAAGGCAACGAUGCAUAGCCGACCUGAGAGGGUGAUCGGCCACACUGGAACUGAGACACGGUCCAGACUCCUACGGGAGGCAGCAGUAGGGAAUCUUCCGCAAUGGGCGAAAGCCUGACGGAGCAACGCCGCGUGAGUGAUGAAGGUCUUCGGAUCGUAAAACUCUGUUAUUAGGGAAGAACAUAUGUGUAAGUAACUGUGCACAUCUUGACGGUACCUAAUCAGAAAGCCACGGCUAACUACGUG